RNAcentral lists this long non-coding RNA (2134 nucleotides) under Salmo salar (Atlantic salmon). RNAcentral's name for it is "lncRNA (ENSSSAG00000109697.1)". Lineage: Eukaryota; Metazoa; Chordata; Actinopteri; Salmoniformes; Salmonidae. The record is from RNAcentral.
GUGGUUGAAAAAUUAGUUUUAAUGACUCCAACCUAAACUUCUGUAAACUUCUGACAUCAACGUUAGGAGAGCAAUAUUUGAUAUGGAUGUGCUUUUGGCAUGAAGGAUGGCAGAAGAAAACGCUGAGACUGUAGAGAAUGAGAAUUAGAGUGCUCGGACCAAGAUGUGCCACAGGGCAAAAUAGACAGGAAGUGACAUCACAGGGGGGAACAUUCCGCACCUGUUUAUUGGCCAGGCUGGGCUGGGCUGACUGUGUCACUCUGGUCCCCUAUUUGUGCUGCAUGAGAAACAGGGGGAGGCUGACUGACAAGCACAAACGGGCAAACAUACUCUUGGCUCAGGCCUUGUGCGUGUGUGUGUGUACUUGUGAGUGAGAGUCUGGUUUUGUGAAUGUGUGUGCAUGUACUGUACUCUGUGUGUGUGUGGUUAUGUGAAUGUGUGUGCGAGUGUGUGUGAGUGACUGUACUUUAUGUGUGUGUGGGUGAAACAGUCUGGAGGACAGGUUUGCUGACAGCAGCUCCCAGCUCUGAUUUGGAUGGCUGCGAGGUGCUGACAGCUGGCUGUUAUUUCAUGGACCCGCUGGGGGCCAACGUGAUGGAACAGGACUGAGAGAAACUCCCUCCUGCUCUGUUCCUCCCUGCCGUUGUCCAGGGGCUCGUUAUUAAAAGAGUGACUUUUGGAAAACCACUUCAUUCACGAAUGUGCUGUCCCAUUAGCCAAAAAUUCCAUUGAAGAAUCCAGGGACCAUGGGAGGAGAUGGGAGGGUAGAAAGGAGGACAUUGAGUCAGAUUGGUAGCCCUGGUGAACUCUCUGGGGAGAGGGAAGAGAAGGAAUAGGGGAAGGGUGUGUGAGACAGGAUUGACAGCUCUCUGACACACACUGGGCCCACUGAGAUGCUCUGGAGUCUUUCCAUCAGCUGUCAUAUCCUGUCGAUGAGAGAGAGAGCUGGGUUCGCCUUAAUCUCUCUCUCUCUUUCUCUCUUUCUCUCUGUCUAUCGGACUCUCUGUUUGUCUUCAAAUCAGAUUUUUCGUAAACAACAGGUGUAGACUAACAGUCUAAAUUGACAUCUUGGCUCCAGAUGCCUGUCAAUCCACCGAAGAUCCUACAGUGAGUGUCAGCACCUUGUUUCAAUUGCACACUUCUUGGUGUCAGAGAUAGUGGAGAAGUGUGGAAAAAGAGAGGAAUGAAGAAUGAUGGACAGAAAUGAACCCAGUAUCCCAGUAUGGGUCAUGGAGGAGGAAAUAUAAGGUUUCAUGUGUUGGCAUAGCCUCGGCUAUGUACAGUACGUUGGCAUAGCCUCGGCUAUGUACGAGCCCUGGGCGAUUGCUGCUUGUUGUGUACUCUGUCUGGAGGAGUUGAGGGGUAGGGCCCCUGGGUGAAAAGAUUGACCUGUCAUCCCAGACAAUGAUCUAUAACCUGUUGCAGGAUUCCAACCCUCCCAGAUCAGCCCCAUCAGCCCUGAGUGCCACAGGACUACACACAGACGAGCCGUCCGAUAAACCCUUACUCCUAUGACCUUCACUUCUCCGCUCCUGCAGACACACACAAGCAUGCGUAGGCAAACGCAUACACACCUCCCAGCCACAUGUGACCGACCGCCUUGAUUCGGUCUUAUGUAGGCAAAUUUGAAAUGGUGUUUUUUACAUUGGAUAAAAGCAGACACUGAGCUACAAAAUGGUAUAUCAUACACUGCAUUUGAGGAACAAUGGGAAAGUAAUUAUGCUUUAAAUGUUGAUAAACUCACUUUUGAGAAAAAAGCUUUUUGUCACGCCCUGAUCUGUUUCACCUGUUCCUGUGAUUGUCUCCUCCAGGUGUCUCUUAUUUUCCCCAGUGUAUUUAUCCCAGUGUUUCCUGUCUCUCUGUGCCAGUUCGUCUUGUAUGUUUUCAAGUCAACCAGCGUGUUUUCCCGUGCUCCUGUUUUCUAUUCUCUUUUUCUAGUCUUCCCGGUUUUGACCCUUGCCUGUUUUUUCUGGACUCUGUACCCGCCUGCCUGACCCUUCUGCCUGCCCUGCCAUCGAGCCUGCCUGUCACUCUUUACCUCUUGGACUCAGAAUCUGGUUUUGACCUUUUGCCUGUCCACGGCCAUUCUCUUGCCUACUUUUUUUGGAUUCUAAAUAAACUACAAAGAUUCUAA